This 468-nucleotide ribosomal RNA is filed under the name uncultured bacterium. RNAcentral's name for it is "partial 16S ribosomal RNA". It matches the Rfam family "Bacterial small subunit ribosomal RNA", at positions 28 to 507 of the family's 1533-position model. The record is from RNAcentral.
GACGAACGCUGGCGGCGUGCUUAACACAUGCAAGUCGAACGGAAAGGCCCUGCUUUUGUGGGGUGCUCGAGUGGCGAACGGGUGAGUAACACGUGAGUAACCUGCCCUGCACUUUGGGAUAACUUUAGGAAACUGGGGCUAAUACCGGAUAGGACCUCCUGCUGCAUGGGGGUGGUUGGAAAGUUUCGGCGGGUGGGGAUGGACUCGCGGCUUAUCAGCUUGUUGGUGGGGUAGUGGCUUACCAAGGCAUUGACGGGUAGCCGGCCUGAGAGGGUGACCGGCCACAUUGGGACUGAGAUACGGCCCAGACUCCUACGGGAGGCAGCAGUGGGGAAUAUUGCACAAUGGGCGGAAGCCUGAUGCAGCAACGCCGCGUGCGGGAUGACGGCCUUCGGGUUGUAAACCGCUUUCGCCUGUGACGAAGCGUGAGUGACGGUAAUGGGUAAAGAAGCACCGGCUAACUACGUG